RNAcentral lists this ribosomal RNA (500 nucleotides) under uncultured bacterium. RNAcentral describes it as "partial 16S ribosomal RNA". It matches the Rfam family "Bacterial small subunit ribosomal RNA", at positions 30 to 523 of the family's 1533-position model. The record is from RNAcentral.
AUUGAACGCUGGCGGAAUGCUUUACACAUGCAAGUCGAACGGCAGCACGGACUUCGGUCUGGUGGCGAGUGGCGAACGGGUGAGUAACAUAUCGGAACGUAUCCAAUAAUGGGGGAUAACUAAUCGAAAGGUUGGCUAAUACCGCAUACGCCCUACGGGGGAAAGCUAGGGACCUUCGGGCCUGGCGUUAAUGGAGCGGCCGAUAUCUGAUUAGCUAGUUGGUGGGGUAAAGGCGCACCAAGGCGACGAUCAGUAGCUGGUCUGAGAGGACGACCAGCAGCACUGGAACUGAGACACGGUCCAGACUCCGACGGGAGGCAGCAGUGGGGAAUUUUGGACAAUGGGCGCAAGCCUGAUCCAGCCAUUCCGCGUGAGUGAAGAAGGCCUUCGGGUUGUAAAGCUCUUUCGCAAGGGAAGAAAACUUAGCCUCUAACAUAGGCUGAGGUUGACGGUACCUUGAUAAGAAGCACCGGCUAACUACGUGCCAGCAGCCGCCGCCG